GACCAUUUUAUUGCAGUUUUGAAAGAAAAA
Molecule: non-coding RNA, 30 nt
Filed under: Mus musculus (house mouse)
Lineage: Eukaryota; Metazoa; Chordata; Mammalia; Rodentia; Muridae
Source: RNAcentral